This is a long non-coding RNA of Capsicum annuum, 2492 nucleotides long. RefSeq lists it as uncharacterized. The record is from RefSeq and is a predicted model, not a curated record. The transcript is spliced from 2 exons. Lineage: Eukaryota; Viridiplantae; Streptophyta; Magnoliopsida; Solanales; Solanaceae.
CAUUCCCCAACCAGUUUCCACAAUAUGAUCUCUCCUGCCUUGAACUUCCCCUUCAGGAUAUCAAAAUUAUCGAAGCCCUUUUUUCCUUCAAACCGUUCAAAGCCCCGGGUCCGGAUGAGCUGCACCCUUACUUUUUUCAAUUCCAAUGGCACAUUGUUGGAAAUUCCGUAAGAGACCUGUGCCAUCAAAUUUUCCGUAUGCAGGCCCUUCCCACUUCGAUAAAUGAAACUUAUGCCUUAUCCCAAAAUUCCCAAAUGCUAACUAUUUGAAAAAUUUCCUUCCCAUUAGCUUAUGUAACACCUCUUACAAAAUAAUAACAAAAAUCAUUGCUAAUCGUAUCAAACCUCACUUACCCACCUUUGUCGGCCCUCACCAAAUUAAUUUUUUGAAAGGUCGUAGGGCUUGUGAUAACGUCAUCCUUGUCCAAGAGCUCGUCAGUCGCUUAUGAUAUUCUAACAGUAACAAGAGCAGCCUAAUAUUUAAAAUAGAUCUAGAAAAAGCCUUUGACCGUCUUAAAUGGUCUUUUGUUUACUGCAACCUCCGUCACUUUAAUUCCCUCCUCAAAUCACUUCUCUUAUUAUGACCUGUAUAUCCACUAGUAAUAUUGUCGUCCUGGUCGAUGGAACUCGAAUAAAUUUUUUCUCCCGCUCACGAGGUAUUCAUCAAGGUGAUUCGAUGUUGCCCUAUAUCUUUAUUUUGUGUAUGUAACUUCUCUCCAUAUAUAUCAACCAUCAAGUUAAUAUACUACGCUGGGAUCCUAUCAGUCUUGGCAUCCAUGGGCCUCCCGUCUCUUAUCUCUCCUUUGCCGACGAUUUAACCCUUGUUUCAAAGGCUACUCCUAAGUCUAUCCACACCAUCUCUAACUAUCUGCAGUAUUUCUGCAUGCUUUCCACUCAAAAAAUCAAUACUGGAAAGUCGAAGGCUUUUACUCCAAGAUCUGUCCCAAUUCCAUUAAGAAACUUGUUAACGAUCUCCUAAAUAUAUCUUCGAUCAACAAUUUUGAAAAAUACUUAGGUUUUCCCGUUCUUAACUAUAAGCCUAAAUGCGCUGACUUCCAGUUUCUUAUAGAUAAUAUGCGCAAAAAACUCUAUGCUUCGAAAACCAAUUUCUUAUCGCAGGCGGGCAGGCUUGUGCUUGCAAAAUUUGCUCUUAAUGCCAUCCCUGCGUACACCAUGCUGUAUUUUCAACUCCCUAAACAAGUUUGUCACUCCAUUGAUCAUAUUCAAAGAGAUUUUAUUUGGGGAUCUAUAUCACAAAAUCAUAAACUUCAUUAUGUCUCUUGGGGUAAGAUUACCACCUCUAAGGAUCAUGGGGGUUUUGGUAUUCAAGAUUGUGUUACAAAAAAUAAAGCUAUCCUUACUGGCCUAUCUUGAAGAAUCUUCACUUACCCCAACGCCUUCUGGGUUCGUGUUUUAUCUUCCAAAUAUAACCACUAUCGUUUUGGUCCCGCUCGCUCCUUUAUUUGGAAAAAUAUUCUUCAGGGCGAUGCUAUUUGUAAUCAGACCACCGUGUAGGCCCUUGCCUCGGGUAAAUCCAUCAACCUUUGGACUUACCACUGGAUUCCCGACUUCCCACCGCUGCGGCACAUCCUAUAAGGUCCUCUUCUUUGUAAUGAGGAUAAGCUCACCCUUUCGGAUAUCUGGAACGGCCAUACCUUAGAAUGGCAUAAAAUAUCCUUUGAUAUCCCCCCGGAUAUCAGUCAAAGGGCCUCCUGUGUUCGUCUAAAUAAUGGUCUUGGAGCCUAUGAUUACUCUUAUUGGGCCCUCAAUAAGAAUGGACUGUUUUCAACCAAAUCAGUCCAUCAUCUACUUACAAAUCACCUACAUACCCCUUAUGAAUUUAGUUGGAUCUGGAAACUUCAUACGUUGGAAAAAAUCAAGUUGUUCCUUUGGUUAUGCUCACAUGACAGACUCCCGACUUCAGCUUACCUCUAUUAUAUUGGUCUUGCUCCUACUUCCCAUUGUCGUAUCUGCAAUCUCAAACCUGAACCUAUUUUCCAUAUUUUUCUCCGCUGCUAUGUUGCGUAGAAGUUUUGAAUAGAUAUCGGCAUAAACCUACUCAACAUAGCCGCUACCAACUACCACUGGCUCCACACUCUUCGUAACUUAAAUCCCCCCUUCCAUGCCGACCAGCCUGACUGGUCCAUGUUGAGGAGCUUGGGGAAUCCAACCUUUUCUAGAUUAAGCUCUUAUCUGUCCAGAACUAGUGAUGAUGACUUUUUGGUAGCUCCACCUGAUGUUGUUGAAGCCCAGCUUCGUCAAGAUCGAAAUAGAGUGUUGUGUAGUACAGUAGUAUCAUGGUCUGCUUAUAGUUAACUUGUAUGUCUAGGGAAUCAAUCAGUAUUGUGUAAUUAUGGUAGAAAUAUUUCCUUGUUGGAAUCCUCUAAGAGUCAUCUUAUGGACUCUAUUUUGUUAAGGUCUGGUCACUGCCAGUACUUCUACUGUUGUCCUAUGUAAACCUUCUUAACUUCAGUCUCUAUUUUAUAGAUAAUA